GUCAAGUCAUCAUGGCCCUUAUGUCCAGGGCUACACACGUGCUACAAUGGACGGUACAAAGCGGAGCGAAGCCGCGAGGCGCAAGCAAAUCGCGGAAAACCGUCCGUAGUUCGGAUUGAAGUCUGAAACCCGACUUCAUGAAGUCGGAAUCGCUAGUAAUCACAGAUCAGCAUGCUGUGGUGAAUACGUUCCCGGGCCUU
Molecule: ribosomal RNA, 200 nt
Filed under: uncultured prokaryote
Description: partial 16S ribosomal RNA
Rfam family: Bacterial small subunit ribosomal RNA
Source: RNAcentral